Molecule: unclassified non-coding RNA, 258 nt
Filed under: Hevea brasiliensis (rubber tree)
Lineage: Eukaryota; Viridiplantae; Streptophyta; Magnoliopsida; Malpighiales; Euphorbiaceae
Source: RNAcentral
AAAGAAGCCCUUCUUAUAAUGUCAAAAUGGAGUUUCUUAUCAUCAAAUUCAAAGUUUGGCUUCCAGGAGUUAAAAAAUCAACAUCUUCCCCACUUUGUUGGUUUAUUUCUUCAAAACAUAUCAAGUUGAGCAUGUUCUGCCAAAGCAUCAGACUAAAUCCUAGCUAUGACAUAGUUGUUGACAAAGAAAAAUUGGAGAAGGGGAGGUAUACUUGUAAGCAUAGUUAUGGAAACUAUACACUGCAUGAAUACUACAAAA